UGUGGGAGGGGGCUUGCCCCCGAUAGCGGUAGUUCAGUCAGUUCAUCAGCAACUGACCCACCGCCAUCGGGAGCAAGCCCCCUCCCACU
This 89-nucleotide unclassified non-coding RNA is filed under the name Pseudomonas orientalis. Lineage: Bacteria; Pseudomonadati; Pseudomonadota; Gammaproteobacteria; Pseudomonadales; Pseudomonadaceae. The record is from RNAcentral.